AUGAGGACAUUGCGGUCCUUUGACCUGUGUCAUCUGUGUCCACAUCGCACACCUGCUCUGUCACGAUCCAGGAUAUGUUAGCCUUAUUGCAAUGCAAAACUGGAAAUAUGCACGGCUGCUGAUUUUAUUUGUGAAACCGACACGCAGACCAAGGUUUAUGGAUGGGUGGGGUUAACCGUACAUGCGUCUGUUGGAUGGAUAUUACUACAUGAAGAGGACCUCAGCGGAGCAAUGGCAAUCUGUCAGUGGCUUAUCGCGUCCGAUAGCUGAAGAAAACAACGGACCCGCUGCGAUUCCUGCUAUGGAACGACAUGCUACAGUCAGGUGCAGAGAGGAAAGUAACCAUGAAAAACGGAGGAACUGGCUUCUGCUCGUCUGUCUGCGACUGCUGGGUAUCAUUGGCUGUGGGAGAUUAGCGGGGUGUGCUGUGCAUGAAUCAGGGAGAUACUGUGACUAAAUGUCUGCUUCAUGCUUAUCAGCGCAAUGAAUGGAAUCCUCAGAGACACGGGGAUAAGGUGAAGUGUGGGCACAGAGUCAGAGAGACUGCUAUCUGAUCUGGGAGACGCUCAUGCAGACUUGAUUGUACUCUGAUAUUAUUGUCUGUGCCACCGAGGACAGAAGCACACAGGUUAUAAUGUGGAGAAAUUGAUGUCACGAAAGAACAAGACACACGAGACACAUCACUGUGCCUGGCUGGUCUCUACUGUGGUUGUCUUUCUCUUUGUCAGUUUAGCAGAACAAAAAAGUGUUACCAUUUAUUUCUGUCAAAUUUAGAUUUUACAGUAAGUGUAGUGACUACUAUGUAGUUGUAAAUGAAAAAAGGUACAAUGUACUUAUUGCGUUCAUGUUUUCAUUUUGAAAUAGAAAUGCAAUGCAAAACCAUGUUCCAAAACAUCCCCAGAUCCUACAUUUCAGUCCUAAGCUACAAUUAAAAAUAUAUUGUGAACAAUAAUUGACAAGCGGCUGACAAAAACGUUUGAUUUUAUGCAAGAUAUUAUCAAAAAGUAGAAUAUACAUAUAAGUGUGCACUGGUACAUACCGUGUACAUAUUUUGUAUCAUCCUGUUCUUAUCAGUUUUUUUCUCAGUGUUUCACACUAUGUAUUUCAAGAUACAUUUCAUGACAAUCUUUCAAUCUUUUACAACAUUCCGCCAAGCAGCAUCUACAACAAACGAAAUGUUACGUCUCUAUAACGACGACUGGCUCCUCAGAGGCUUUGGAAUUUAGAAAACACAGUGCUGAAAAUAAGUUACCAAGUAAAGAUUAUAAUGACCGGGAGCUAUUACAACACGAGCUGUUCUCUUGCAGGAUGAACUCACUAUCGUGGCGUAUUAUUUAUUAACAGGUAAACUAUAAAUGAAUGCAUGCCCUAAUGCUUAUAAUCUCCGCUUGUUUGAUUUGCAGGUGCUUACCUGCUUUAAAAGAAACGUUUAAAGCUUCGGAAAUAUAUGACAAAUUAGUUUUGAUCAGCGAAAAUGCACGUUUAAAGGAAGUGCUCGCACACACACAAAAAAUACAUUUGCUGAAAAUACAUUACCUUCAGGCCAUCCAAGAUUUCAUGGGAAAAGAUUUGGAAAAAUUUAGCAUUGCAUCACUUGCUCACCAACGGAUCCUCUGCGGUGAAUGGCUGCCAUCAGAAUAAAAGUCCAUACAACUGUAAAAAAACAAUAUUACAAUAAUCUACACAAAACAUUUCUAAACUAAUUUGUGAGCGGGACAACAGGGGAUGGACUUUUCCACUGGAGGAAGCAUAUCGCUAUUAUUUUUAAACACACAUCGUGUGUCCUUACGCAUAAAAGCAGCAACGCGGUGAGGAUCACAAUCCAGAUUAAGAGAAACGAAGAGCAGUGAUGCAUUUUCACUCGACAUUCUCUGAGUGUCUGGAACUUGGCUCGCUUUUCACAUUCAGGUUCAGUCCUGGCGAUGGAGCCAGAUUAGUGUGUUUAUUCAAGUGGAAGGAGAUCAGUUGUGAAUGAUGUGAACGGCCACAAAUCGACAUUUGAACUAUGAACAUUUGGAAUGUUUUAAUCGUAGCUUAGAGCAGCCUUAGGUUUAAUCGCCGCCAUCCGGGUGGGGGGCCGCGAAGGGAGCUCACCAUUACGGUUACUUGACGUUAGUAAAUGCACACACUGAUAUAUUCCGCCCUUGGACGAUCUUCGGUGAAGCGAGCACAAGCAUAAAGAGCGAAAUGAAAUAUGUAACAUGAAUGAACCCAGACAGUCUUCCCAAAGGCUCUGUUAGUGUAUGCAUGCGUGUCUAUCUGUAUCACUCUGAUUUGCAACUUCUAGUCGCUAUGUCAUCAGCCAGGCUCACUUACAUAAAGACACUUCCUUCUCUCGUGACUUAACACCAACUUUUCAUUGUUACACGAAGUCUAUUUUUAAUUAAGCAGGUUCUGUUACUCACAUGUUUACACAUGUCAUUCCAAACCAGCAUUUUUUCAGUGAACACAAACCUUAGUUGCUUCCAUGACAAGCUCAUAGAUCAAAGUUCGGUGACAGAGGUAGUUCAUACUACUUCUAUGUGAAGUCUUUUGAAGUGUUAUGAUUUAUGUGAGAAACAAAAAUAUUAAAAAAAUGAACUAAAUAUGCGUUUUAAGUUCUUUGGAUGUAGAAGUCAUCAUGUAGGUGUCUUUAUAAAGAUGUUUUAAUGCAGCUCAAAGAUGAAAUGAAUACAUUUACAAUGCAAUUACAAUUAGACAUUCAUUUUUUAAAUAAAGAAAAGCUGUCUCCAUUUAUUCAUAGAUGUGUCUUUACUGAAUUCUGUCCAUUGACACCACAUCUGUUAAAAACUGGCACUAAUGUUCGACAGAUCGUUCUUAUAUCCAGAUUCAUGAAAUGAUCCAUUUGCACACUGGAUUAUUUUUCUAUGCACUUUUUAAUGUCCAUAUUCAUUGCACAACUGUAACAUAUUGUAGAUAUUGUAUAUCCUGCACUUCUGCUUAUUGUCCUUCUGGUUAGAUGCUAACUGCAUUUUGUUGCCCUGUACCUUAUAUGUGUAAUGACAAUGAUGUUAAAUCUAAUGUAAUCUAAAAAAGCAAAUUAAUGUCUUCAUCCAACAGAUCAUUAAAUCGUUGAUUCACCUGGUAUGUUCCAAACUGUUAACUUUUUUGUUAAUGUUUCUGCCAGUACAUCAUUUCAAACAAGUAUUUUUAUUGCAUGAUUUAAAAAAUACAUUUGCAUU
This is a long non-coding RNA of Puntigrus tetrazona (Sumatra barb), 3182 nucleotides long. RefSeq lists it as uncharacterized. The record is from RefSeq and is a predicted model, not a curated record. The transcript has 3 exons. Lineage: Eukaryota; Metazoa; Chordata; Actinopteri; Cypriniformes; Cyprinidae.